Long non-coding RNA from Phyllopteryx taeniolatus (common seadragon), 1332 nucleotides. RefSeq lists it as uncharacterized. NCBI's taxonomy places the organism in Eukaryota, Metazoa, Chordata, Actinopteri, Syngnathiformes, Syngnathidae. The transcript is spliced from 2 exons. The record is from RefSeq and is a predicted model, not a curated record.
CGGUCUGCAAAGGAACAACCAAAAUGCAAGAAGAAGCUCGCCUCAUUUAAUACAGGACGGCAAGUUACCAUCAUUGUUUGUUUGCUAUGUCAAUAAUAAUAAUGUGAGGGUUGUGGCGCCGAUUCGUAUCCCACCCGAGUGCACGUCGUCGUUGUAUCCCUGGGCAACUUAACCCACACUGCCCAUAAAUGGAUGUGGUUGGAUGUUCGGUAGUGGUCGCAGGGGCCGCAUUAAUGCAUUAUUAUUUUUUUGCCUGUAUUAUUAAUUUAGAAUCCUUGUUAAUAUGUACUUUUUAUAUAGACAGUACAUUUUUAAUUCUGUUAAAGAUAAAUUCAUUUUGUCAACUAUUUAUGUUUGGGUUUUGUUUUGUUUUUUUAUACAUACAGAGAACAAAACGCCAGGGAGGCUGUGUUGUGAAAUUGGAGGAGUUUAUUCUCAGUCAGCUGUAUAUUGUGGGUGCACUGGGCAUUGGGAUUGCAUUUUUACAGCUAUUUGGGAUGAUCUUUACUUGCUGCCUUCAUCAAAAUCUGAAAGAUGAGCCAUACUGAUGUUGUAUUUUUUUAGUGUCAUUACCUCAUGAGCGCUUGGAGACUUACGUGCCUUCAAUUGACAAGUUUGGACUUUAAAAUUGUACACGCUUGAGCCACUUUUAUGCUGCUGGGCAGCACUUCACUGCAAAAUGUUGUCUUCCUUUCUAUGUGGAGGAUAAUGCAGAAAAAUGCUAGCUUCAUGUGGUUUUAUGUUAUUUACAUCGACUGCACUGCUGUUUUUGGUGUGUCACAUGGUUUAAAGAAAUGCACGCUCAAUAUAAUAAGAACAAUAAAAAUCAUUGUGUUAGCGUGAUUGCCAAUAAAAAGGCAUUUUAUUAUUUCUAUGUAUUGCUGACAAUGCAUUUUAGUGAGAAUGUCAUACAAGUUUGAGGGAUUAGAUUUUUUUUUAAUCAAACUGAUAAACUUUUUUUGUUUUUGCAACUAUUGACUAAUUUUGAAUGAGAUGCCUACAACAUGUUCCAAAAAAGCUGAGACUGUAUGUUUACCACUGUGUUACAUCACUUUUCCUUUUAACAACAUAAUAAGCGUCUGGGAACUGAGACCACCAUUGUUGAAGCUUUAUAAGUGGAAUUAUUUCCCAUCCUUGAUUUGAUGUACAACUUCAGUUGCUCAACAGUCCAGGGUCUCCGUUAUCAUAUUUUGUGCUUCAUAAUGCAAUGCAAUUUUCAUUGGGAGACAGGUCUGGACUGCUGGCAGGUCAGUCUAAUACUCACACUCUUUAAGUACAAUGCAAUACUGUGCAGAAUGUAUCUCGGCAUUGUCUUACUGAAAUAAGCAGGGA